Molecule: non-coding RNA, 126 nt
Organism: Camelina sativa (false flax)
Lineage: Eukaryota; Viridiplantae; Streptophyta; Magnoliopsida; Brassicales; Brassicaceae
Source: RefSeq, a predicted model, not a curated record
UUGAUUGUGCAACACAUCCACACGAAGCUCGGUCAACAUGACCUCUGUAAAAUCUAUCCAAAUCUUUAUGUUAUUCAAUCAACUUUUCAGAUACGUGGGAUGCACACUCUAAUCCGAGACUCUAAA